AAUAUUUUCGCUGAGAAUAGCUGCUCAGCAGUUGUGAUAUCUGAGAGGUUUAGUCUAGUCACUGACUGAGCUAAAUCUUCUCAUCCAUCUGUUAACGCAUGUGGCCUCCGGGUUGGAUGCGAGCUCAGAUAUUUUACCUUGAGAAAAUUAGAGUGUUUCAGGCAGGCUUGGCCGGAAUACAAAAGCAUGGAAUAAUAGAAUUGGCACAGCUCUGUGGUUGCGCAGAGAAGUGUAAUGGUUAAUAGGAACAGUUGGGGGCAUUAGUAUUUAAUUGUCAGAGGUGAAAUUCUUGGAUUUGUUAAAGACUAACUAAAGCGAAAGCAUUU
RNAcentral lists this ribosomal RNA (326 nucleotides) under uncultured eukaryote. Its description in RNAcentral is "bacterial SSU rRNA". It matches the Rfam family "Eukaryotic small subunit ribosomal RNA", at positions 631 to 956 of the family's 1831-position model. The record is from RNAcentral.